Canis lupus familiaris (dog) is the source of this 632-nucleotide long non-coding RNA. RefSeq lists it as uncharacterized. The transcript has 4 exons. The record is from RefSeq and is a predicted model, not a curated record. Lineage: Eukaryota; Metazoa; Chordata; Mammalia; Carnivora; Canidae.
CAUACCAUUUCAAGGCAAAGACUGAGACAUGCAUAGAAUAAUACGGAUAACUUCCAAGAAAAGUUACUCUAAUACACAUAACACAUCUAAGAGUUGAAAUACUGGAUCCUGUCCCAAAGUCCUAGAGACAUGGUAAUCUGGAAUUUCAAACUCAUUGAAGUGGAUCCAUGUUUCUGGCAACCAACUAAACUGCUGGAGCUCUUUUUAACUCUUCAAGGUACAGCAAUGAAUGCAGAAUCUCUGCGGAGUGAACCUGUAUCACUUCUUGGAGUGAAUCACAUUUCAUAAGGAUGAUGACAAUGAUGAUAUAACAAUAGCAGCAGCCACAAUAAACCACUGAAAGUAUGAUUGAAAAAUAAAAAAUAAAAAGACUUAAGAAGGCUAGUUUGGUACUGCACUUUCAGGAAGGACCAGAAUAUCUUGCAGACCCAGAUGUAAACCAGGCUCCAGUGUUUCAUUUUCAGUCAACUGGUUGUAUGGAAUUCUCAUGAGUCAAAAGAUGGGGACUGAAGGAAAGGAGGCCAUGAAGAAAAAAAUCAGUUUCAAAAAAAAAACAACUGAAACAUUUGCUUAUGCAACUUACCUGUAUAUCCUGGUCUUGCUCAAACACACUUUUUAUCUAUUACUUCUAC